Molecule: ribosomal RNA, 240 nt
Filed under: Tausonia sp.
Lineage: Eukaryota; Fungi; Basidiomycota; Tremellomycetes; Cystofilobasidiales; Mrakiaceae
Description: partial large subunit ribosomal RNA
Source: RNAcentral
AAACGAUUGAAGUCAGUCAUGCUUUCCGAGACUCAGCCGGUUCUGCCGGUGUACUUCUCGGUUUGCAGGCCAGCAUCAGUUUUGGGCGGUGGAAAAGGUUGGCGGGAAUGUGGCAUCCUCGGAUGUGUUAUAGCCCGCUUUCGAAUACAUCGCCCGGGACUGAGGAACGCAGCACGCCUCUUGUAGGUCGGUCUUCGGACACGUCCGUGCUUAGGAUGCUGGCAUAAUGGCUUUAAACGA